This is a long non-coding RNA of Centruroides sculpturatus (bark scorpion), 173 nucleotides long. RefSeq lists it as uncharacterized. Lineage: Eukaryota; Metazoa; Arthropoda; Arachnida; Scorpiones; Buthidae. The record is from RefSeq and is a predicted model, not a curated record. The transcript is spliced from 3 exons.
UUCACUUUUGAUGCAGAACACUUAAAACUUAAAUAUCUAAAUAAGGACUUAAUUAAAACUAAGUUGUUUACUCCUAAAGCUUAUGAUCCCAAGGUGCAAAUUCCAUAUGUAGUGCCACAUGGAGUGUGUCCCAGAGAACUAGCAAUUUUGAGAUUGAAAAAAACUUUUUCUAA